UAAUUGGUAGCGCGGCUGAUUCCAAAUCAGUAGGUUGGGGGUUCGAAUCCCUCUGCUCC
Molecule: transfer RNA, 59 nt
Filed under: marine eukaryotic metagenome
Rfam family: tRNA
About the family: Transfer RNA (tRNA) molecules are approximately 80 nucleotides in length. Their secondary structure includes four short double-helical elements and three loops (D, anti-codon, and T loops).
Source: RNAcentral